Molecule: long non-coding RNA, 806 nt
Organism: Ananas comosus (pineapple)
Lineage: Eukaryota; Viridiplantae; Streptophyta; Magnoliopsida; Poales; Bromeliaceae
Exons: 2
Source: RefSeq, a predicted model, not a curated record
GGGACUUACUAGAAGAGGAACUCUUCCUUCUGGUCUUGUUACACAUACUCUUCCUCACUACCACACUCUUUCCCUCUCUCUCUCUCUAGAAGAUCCCUCUAACCUUGGAAAAGAUCAAGGUUUUGAUCUAGGGAAAAGCUUUUGAGUGGCCUAGCUAGCUUCUUGGAGCAAGAAAAAGUUCGGGAGCUCGGACUAGAGAUGAGUUCUUGGAGAUUUGGGUUAGGGUUUCGUAUUUUGGCUUUAUUUUGGGAUUUUGUAAACCUUAGAUGAAUCUAGGCUAUAAAUAGUGGAGAUUCACAAAAGUAUUUGGGGUUUUGUCCUAAAUUUGGAAAACUCUAGGUUGAAAGAGGGCUUUUGCCCUAGAAGGGUUUAAAAAAAUUCUUUAACGCUUACAAACUCUAAUUAAAGGGGAGAAAAUCAAGUGGGACAACUCGAUUUCAUAAAAUAAAAUUAUUUGAAUAGUUGAAAUGGAUAACGAAUUGAUCUCUUGUUUAGGGCAAGAAGAGCUUGGUAGCAAGCUUGGAGAUCCAAGGAGUUAGGCCCAAUUGCAAGUAACUACAAGCAAUUGGAAGUGCUUUGAGGUCCAUCCACGGGGGUAGCAGUGGAGCGUGGAAGGGGCGUUGCAGAGUAGAUAGCGUCCUUUGAUCCUUUCUUCGUGAUAAGAUAGUUUUUAGUUGGGCCCCAUUUUGGAUUAUAUGUAUUAAGUGGGAAAUUUAAUAUAAUUUUGGAAAAUUGAAAAUAUCGUAAUUGAAUGGUUUAAAUCUGUAAUAAAAUGUAGUAUUCUACUUGUUGGUACUUUUCUUAUA